RNAcentral lists this ribosomal RNA (480 nucleotides) under uncultured bacterium. RNAcentral describes it as "partial 16S ribosomal RNA". It matches the Rfam family "Bacterial small subunit ribosomal RNA", at positions 28 to 523 of the family's 1533-position model. The record is from RNAcentral.
GACGAACGCUGGCGGCGUGCUUAACACAUGCAAGUCGAGCGGAAAGGCCCUUUCGGGGGUACUCGAGCGGCGAACGGGUGAGUAACACGUGAGUAAUCUGCCCCUGGCUUUGGGAUAGCCACCGGAAACGGUGAUUAAUACCGGAUACGACCACUUCUCGCAUGGGAUGGUGGUGGAAAGUUUUUCGGCCAGGGAUGUGCUCGCGGCCAAUCAGCUUGAUGGUGAGGUAAUGGCUCACCAUGGCUUCGACGGGUAGCCGGCCUGAGAGGGUGACCGGUCACACUGGGACGGAGGCACGGCCCAGACUCCUACGGGAGGCAGCAGUGGGGAAUAUUGGACAAUGGGCGGAAGCCUGAUCCAGCAACGCCGCGUGAGGGAUGACGGCCUUCGGGUUGUAAACCUCUUUCAGCAGGGACGAAGCGCAAGUGACGGUACCUGCAGAAGAAGCACCGGCCAACUACGUGCCAGCCGCCGCCGUAA